CCCAGGUGGAAUGUAAAAUAUGGCACAAAUGAACCUAUCUAUAGAACAGAAACAGACUCACAGACAUGGAGAAUAGACUUGUGUUGUGUUGGGGUAGAAGUGGGAUGGACUGGGACUUUGGGGUUAGUAGAUACAAACUAUUACAUUUAGAAUGGAUAAGCAAUGGGAUGCUGCUGUAUAACACAGGGAAUGAUAUCCAAUCACUUGUGAUAGAACAUGAUGGCAGAUAAUACGAGAAAAAGAAUGUAUUUUUAUGUAUGACUGAGUCACUUUGCUGUAUGGAAGAAACUGACAUAACAUUGUAACUCAACUAUACUUUCAUAAAAAAUUUUAAAAAUAAAGCCCUGAAAAUCUAAAGGAAGGGGGAGAAUCUGAUUUCCAGAGUUACCACACUGUUAAAUUCAAAUGUCCAGUUUUGAAUCUGUCCCUGAAAAAGACCUGAUAGCAAAUCUACUAGACAAAGACUUUAGAAUGACUGUCAUAUUGAUGCUCAGAGAACUAAAAAAAGAAGUGGAGAAAGUAAAGAAAAUAAUACAUGAACAAAAUGGAAAUGUCAAUAAAGGGAGAAAAAAACCUAAAAAUGAACCACAAAAAAUCUGGAUCUAAAAGGUAUAAUAUGGCUGGGGCACCAGAGGUGCCAAGGCGCAGAGAGCCGGCGGGGGUGCAUCUGAUCAGCCUCCUCUCAGCCGGGGAAAGCAUCGCUCUGCUCUCAAUCUUUUCAGAGGUGGAGGGAAAUUCUGGGGUCCCAAGUGUUAAUGGUCCGAAGGUUUAUUUGCCCUCACGCCUUGUCCUAUAUCUAGAGAAUUAAUGUUCUCACUCCCAUUGCCUUCCUUUUUCUGGCCUCUUAGCCCAGUGAUCUGAGUUGAAUAAUGUAUUUUUCAAGCCUAGAUUGUUGCUUUUUUUAUUGCAUGCCUUAAGUCAUUCGACAAAGACCCUGGGAAAAUCUCCUCUGGCCCAUUCUAUGUCCUUGGUUGGCCAAGAGGUCAUGGCACUUUUACCUUCUCUUUGUCUAUGGUCUCCAGAAACUUGGAAGAGACCUGACAGUUCUUAGGUUUGUGAACUCAAAACUAAGAGUUCAGUGUUGCUUUUGGCCCAAUCAGCAAUAAAUAUGAAAGGAGUCUUCUGAAACUACAGUUUUGAUACAUGUUUGAGAUUAGAGAGAGAUUUGCAGAAGGUAGCGUAUUUCAGAGCAGAAGUUGAGAAUUUAAAUAAGGAAAUAGCAUUACUUUUGAACACUUCUGCAUUAUCAUCUUAUCCCACCCUUUCCAAAGGGAGCAUCACUUUGUAUAGUGGUGAGCUGGCAAUCCAGCUACAGUCUUUUCGUAGCCACCACCCUUUCAAGCCUCAGUGUCAUGGUUUAGUCAACACUGCUACUGCACUUUUAGAUUUGGGGAAGUGGGGUAUUUAAUUUGGAAAUUAUAAAAUUAAAGCUCAACAGAUGAGUGACAGCAAGAGUAGAUGGUUCUACAUUUAAGGGAAUUGUCAUCGAUGUUUUCAUUUUCAUACAUAUUUUUGAGAAUAGUUGGCCCUGAAGAAGGAAGUAUCUGAAAUUAUACAAGCUUCAUUCUAGCAUGAACCUUUGGAUUUAACCUCCUCCCAAAUCUAGAAUACCUAUAGUUACCUUAUGUUCAUUUAAAUAAAUUACAUUUUAAUUAUUUUUUAUGUCGGGAAGAUACUGUCCUAGCAUUGCAUUAGCAUUAACAUUUACUCAACACAUUAAUAGGUGCUGGAUUAAAUAAACAAUUUAAGAUGAAAAUAAAUAAAUAAAUAAAAGGUAUAAUAACUGAAAUGAAAGAUUCACUAGAGGGAUUCAAAGGCAGAUUUUGGCAGGUAGAGGAAAGAAUCAGAAAACUUGAAGAUAGGACAGUGGAAAUUAUUGAGUCAGAAACAGAGAGAAAAAAGAUUAAAGUGUCAGAGCAUAAAGUACCUGUGGGACACCAUCAAAUGGACCAAUAUACAUAUUGUGGGAGUCCCAGGAGAAGAGAGAGGAAGAAAGAGGCAGAAAGAAUAUCUGAAAAAAUAAUGAUCCCAAACUUGCCAAUUGUUUUUUCUUUUUCUUUUUCCUUUUUUAUUUAUUAUUAUUAUUAUUAUUAUUAUUUUUUUUUUUGCUUUUCAGGGCCACACCCAUGGCAUAUGGAGGUUCCCAGAUAAACAGAAGCUGAGGGAGUUUUUUACCACUACACCUAUCCUGUGAAAAUGUUCAAGGGCGUCCUACAGGUUGGAUGAAAUGGCACUAGACAGUAGCUUGAAACUCUAUUUUAAAAAACAGAUAAAGAAGGUGUGGUAUAUAUACACAAUGGAAUACUUCUCAGCCAUAAAAAGAAUGAAACUUUGCCAUUUGCAGCGACAUGGACGGACUUGGAGGGAAUUAUGCUAAGUGAAAUAAGUCAGACCGAAAGACAAAUAUGGUCUGAUUAUAUGUGGACUCUAAAAAAAUACAGCAAACUAGUGAAUAUAACAAAUAAAAAGAAGACUCACAGAUACAGAAAACAAACUGUAUCUGUGGUUACCAGCGGGAAGAGGGCAGGGAGGAGGGGCAAGGGAGGGGAAGGGGAGAAGGAGGUACUAACUGUUAGGUACAAAACAGGCAAGAAGGAAACACUGCACAACAUUAGGAAUAUGGCAAGUAUUUUAUAAUAAGUGGAGUACAACUUUUAAAAAUUGCAAAUCACUAUACCGCACACCUGUAACUUACAUAAUAUGGUAUGUCAAUUAUAAAUCCAUUUAAAAAACUAACUUCAAAAAACUCAGGAAAGGUGGAGUUCCCAUCGAGGCUCAGUGGUUAGCAAACCCGACUAGUGUCCAUGAGGAUGUGGGUUCGAUCCCUGGCCUUGCUCAGUGGGUUGAGGAUCUGGCAUUGCCCAUGAGCUAUAAUGUGGCUACACAGACGUGGCCUGGAUCCCGUGUUGCUGUGGCUGUGGUGUAGGCC
This 2929-nucleotide long non-coding RNA is filed under the name Sus scrofa (pig). RNAcentral's name for it is "lncRNA (ENSSSCG00015038614.1)". Lineage: Eukaryota; Metazoa; Chordata; Mammalia; Artiodactyla; Suidae. The record is from RNAcentral.